CGAUGAUAUGCUAGCUUUUCUCAUGCCUCUGGAUUUAUUGAGGAUUCUCUGGGAUCCUCCCCAUCAGCAUCUAGACAUUCUCAAGACCCUCCCAAUGUCAAGAAAGUCUGUCUCUCGUUCCUCUCCAGCCCUCUCCAACUGCUAGCCUCUCCAGUCCCUGCCACAGUCCACUUUCUUUAGAUGUGGAUCUUUAGAUCUCUCUUUGUAUCUCAAGAUGGGACUCUCCCCUCUGUGCCGUCCCGUCGUCAAGCACGUCACCCUGGCUUCCCUGCCCCCUUCUUCCAUCAGAACCCAGGUCUUAACCAGCGGCUUGGUGUCCAGCCACGUCAUUUCAGGGGGUGCCCUCGGGCCGGGAAGGAUGUGCUGCCGUGUGCCAGAGCCCCCUGCUAGAGAUCAACAGGACCAGUGCAGCCCUUCCUUAUUAGAGUUUUCCAGUGCCCUUGCCCGGCGGCAGGGCAGAGAUGAGAUUCUGCAGGGAGAGAGGAGAAGAGCGCCGGAGACAAAGACCCUUCAGAAAACGUAGCAGAUAUCCUGUGAAGCCUUUGAAAAGGUGAACAAGGUUUCCUCCUCGUCCUCCACGCCCCACUGGGCUUUGUGUGUGCACACGGCGGCAUCCGGCGCCGGAAGGCCACCUGCGCCCAGGUGACCUGGCUUCAGCGUCCUCCAGCCCAGCCCGUUCUCUGGACAGCAGCCAAGAGAAGCUUUCUGAGACAUCGCUGAAAUCCCCGCACCCCUCCCAGUUCAGAAGCCUGCGGAGGCUCCCAUUUGCGUUUACGGUAAAGUCUUCCCUCCUUCCUGGCCUCGCUCCUUGCCUGGCUCUCCAGUCUUCUUGUCCCCUGCCUCUUGAAUCCCUCGGGUAGGUCUUAUUGGCCUUGUUCAUAUUUCCAGGACGCCCCACGCUUGCCCGUGGGGGGGCCCUCUGCCUCCAGUGCUCCUGCCCUGUGUUCCACAGGCUGGUUCCUGCUCCCGGCGGGCUCCCUGCCAGCCGCUGUCUCAGGGGCUGUGAGUGUCCCUUUUAGUCCUUUAAAAAAAUUUUUUUUUAAAGAGUUUAUUUGAGCAAAAAUCAGUUUGAAUUGGGCCAAACCAAAGAGUGAUGAAGAGGGGUCCCCCAUUUUAUUCUUUCUCCUGGUCUUGUUUCCUCUUCAGCACUCCUCAGAACCUGCGAUUUUUAUUUUUUAGAGAUUUUAUUUAUUGAUUUGAGACAGCGAG
This 1209-nucleotide long non-coding RNA is filed under the name Zalophus californianus (California sea lion). RNAcentral's name for it is "lncRNA (ENSZCAG00015021295.1)". Lineage: Eukaryota; Metazoa; Chordata; Mammalia; Carnivora; Otariidae. The record is from RNAcentral.